RNAcentral lists this ribosomal RNA (492 nucleotides) under uncultured bacterium. RNAcentral's name for it is "partial 16S ribosomal RNA". It matches the Rfam family "Bacterial small subunit ribosomal RNA", at positions 29 to 507 of the family's 1533-position model. The record is from RNAcentral.
AGUGAACGCUGGCGGUAGGCCUAACACAUGCAAGUCGAACGGCAGCACAGUAAGAGCUUGCUCUUACGGGUGGCGAGUGGCGGACGGGUGAGGAAUACAUCGGAAUCUACUUUUUCUUGGUGGAUAACGUAGGGAAACUUACGCUAAUACCGCAUACGACCUACGGGUGAAAGCAGGUGAUCUUCGGACCUUGCUCGAUUGAAUGAGCCGAUGUCGGAUUAGCUAGUUGGCGGGGUAAAGGCCCACCAAGGCGACGAUCCGUAGCUGGUCUGAGAGGAUGAUCAGCCACACUGGAACUGAGACACGGUCCAGACUCCUACGGGAGGCAGCAGUGGGGAAUAUUGGACAAUGGGCGCAAGCCUGAUCCAGCCAUACCGCGUGGGUGAAGAAGGCCUUCGGGUUGUAAAGCGCUUUUGUUGGGAAAGAAAAGCAGCAGGUUAAUACCCCGCUGUUCUGACGGUACCCAAAGAAUAGGCACCGGCUAACUUCGUG